RNAcentral lists this ribosomal RNA (771 nucleotides) under Arthrobacter globiformis. RNAcentral describes it as "bacterial SSU rRNA". It matches the Rfam family "Bacterial small subunit ribosomal RNA", at positions 555 to 1325 of the family's 1533-position model. The record is from RNAcentral. Lineage: Bacteria; Bacillati; Actinomycetota; Actinomycetes; Micrococcales; Micrococcaceae.
UGGGCGUAAGAGCUCGUAGGCGGUUUGUCGCGUCUGCCGUGAAAGUCCGGGCCUCUACUCCGGAUCUGCGGUGGGUACGGGCAGACUAGAGUGAUGUAGGGGAGACUGGAAUUCCUGGUGUAGCGGUGAAAUGCGCAGAUAUCAGGAGGAACACCGAUGGCGAAGGCAGGUCUCUGGGCAUUAACUGACGCUGAGGAGCGAAAGCAUGGGGAGCGAACAGGAUUAGAUACCCUGGUAGUCCAUGCCGUAAACGUUGGGCACUAGGUGUGGGGGACAUUCCACGUUUUCCGCGCCGUAGCUAACGCAUUAAGUGCCCCGCCUGGGGAGUACGGCCGCAAGGCUAAAACUCAAAGGAAUUGACGGGGGCCCGCACAAGCGGCGGAGCAUGCGGAUUAAUUCGAUGCAACGCGAAGAACCUUACCAAGGCUUGACAUGGACCGGACCGCCGCAGAAAUGUGGUUUCCCCUUUGGGGCUGGUUUACAGGUGGUGCAUGGUUGUCGUCAGCUCGUGUCGUGAGAUGUUGGGUUAAGUCCCGCAACGAGCGCAACCCUCGUUCUAUGUUGCCAGCACGUGAUGGUGGGGACUCAUAGGAGACUGCCGGGGUCAACUCGGAGGAAGGUGGGGACGACGUCAAAUCAUCAUGCCCCUUAUGUCUUGGGCUUCACGCAUGCUACAAUGGCCGGUACAAAGGGUUGCGAUACUGUGAGGUGGAGCUAAUCCCAAAAAGCGGUCUCAGUUCGGAUUGGGGUCUGCAACUCGACCCCAUGAAG